This 449-nucleotide ribosomal RNA is filed under the name uncultured bacterium. Its description in RNAcentral is "partial 16S ribosomal RNA". It matches the Rfam family "Bacterial small subunit ribosomal RNA", at positions 29 to 523 of the family's 1533-position model. The record is from RNAcentral.
AACGAACGCUGGCGGCAUGCCUAACACAUGCAAGUCGAACGAGAUCUUCGGGUCUAGUGGCGCACGGGUGCGUAACGCGUGGGAAUCUGCCCUUUGGUUCGGAAUAACAGUUGGAAACGACUGCUAAUACCGGAUGAUGACGAAAGUCCAAAGAUUUAUCGCCAGAGGAUGAGCCCGCGUAGGAUUAGCUAGUUGGUGUGGUAAAGGCGCGCCAAGGCGACGAUCCUUAGCUGGUCUGAGAGGAUGAUCAGCCACACUGGGACUGAGACACGGCCCAGACUCCUACGGGAGGCAGCAGUGGGGAAUAUUGGACAAUGGGCGAAAGCCUGAUCCAGCAAUGCCGCGUGAGUGAUGAAGGCCUUAGGGUUGUAAAGCUCUUUUACACGGGAUGAUAAUGACAGUACCGGGAGAAUAAGCUCCGGCUAACUCCGUGCCAGCAGCCGCCGUAA